CUCAAAAUUGCAUUUCAUUUGCAAAAGUCUCGUUGCACACGGCGGUUCGCGAAUCGCGCUUCCUCUUCCCGCUGCAGCUGUGUGCGUGUGGGUGUACUCGUAUUGGCUGCGUGUAUGUGUGUGCGUAACUACACUGCAAAUUGUGACGGAUUCAUGUGGCCUUAAGGGGGAAAUAACUUGCAUUUGACAGGUGCGAUCAAGUGUGCCGUCUCAUAAAAUAAAAAAGACGUGAAUAACCUAGGAUGUCUGUUUGCAUUCUCUUUUUGCGCCACUGGUAAGCGAGAAAAUUGAUUAAAAUGCACAUUACAAAGGGGAAAUAUAUUAAAAAAUAUAUGUAGCUCAAAUCUUAAGUAUUGCCGAGUGUGUGUGUAUGAGAUGGAGGGAAAGAGAGAGAGAGAGCGAGAGAGAGAACGGGAGAGUGCAGCCAGAAAUUGCAAUACACACAAACAAAUUGCCACGCAAAAAGCGGCCGGCUUGCCCUCCCCCUCCCCUCCUCCACUGGUGCCCCCCUUCGUCCACCCCUUUGUAUGUGUGCAUUGGAUGCACUUGGUGCGAUUCAUUUGCUUUUAUUACCAUUUUUGCCCGUCUCCGUACUCUUUUUUCCUUAUUUUGUGGGGCCUUCUGCGCGGUGGCAACCCUGGCAGCGAAAUGCGUUGGCGAAUAAGUUCUCUACCCUUUUGUCAGUGUGGGACGCGACUUUGAAAUGCUUGGAGCUGGCGGCGAUGCAGCGCUAAAUGCAAUACAAACGUUAAAAACAAAGAAAUAAUAUUAACUGAAAUCAAAGAACUUGUCAAUAUGUUAUACUUCUACUACGCUAUGAAAUGGUGAUCGGUCAAAUGAGAAAAAUGAAUAAAAUGUGCGUGAAAUGUAACCAAAUACUUAACACAAAAUUAACACUUAUUAAUAUAUAAAUUAAACAUUCAAUUAAUACAAUAUAAACUUAUUCUCUGAUAAAACCCGUUUAUACCUUUAAAAUCGAUCUAAUAGCACUAGGAUUUAUAUCAAAAAGUUAUAAAUGAGUACACUUUUUUUAUGCUAAAAUAACAAUGGAUCCGUUUUUGUAUUUAAUCUCAAUCAUAUUAGGUAUCGCGAAAUUUUAAAACCAUCUUGUGCGCCACUCUUUGAUCUUGGAUUAUGUGACAAAACUCACAAUAAUACACAUUUCUGUCCUUUUUCUUACAGUUUUUGAAUUAUGUUUUUCACCACGUUUAGUAGAUUUCGGGGUUGAACUAUUUUUACAAACCCUUUUUAAUUAAUAUAUAAAAUCAAACUAAAACAAAAUAAUAUCUCUCUGCAAUUUUCUUGCCGAAAACCAAUUGAAGGCAAUUAAAACGCAUUUUCUGUGCAAUUGAUGAUGACCUACGACAAAGGAAAUGAAGUCAUACCCUUACACACACGACUCUUACACACACAUCCACACAGCAAGAGGCAAAGUGCAGGCCAAAAGCGAAUAAAGAACAAAAACAACAAGCGGGGGCCCUACGAAAGCCAAGAACAACAAAUUGCAAUUGGCAGUGCGCAUGCACAUGCACACACACAUAGACAACCGCAGCACACACAGAUACUCCAACUCAAGGCAAAUUGCAGUGGUGUUCGGGCGCUUUUGUUCUCCUACAAAAAGAAAAUUCAGCUCGAAAAAGUACUUAAAAAUAUAAUUCCAAUUAAAUUUUGCUUGAAAAUAUUCGAAAUAUUCUACAAAAGUGGGGAACAUUAAUAAAUUAAAACUUUGUCCGCCCCCCUCUUUCAUCCCUUCUCUUUCUACCUUCCUUUAUUUAUAAUAUUAAAAUGCGCGUCAUGCCAACGACAGUUGAAUGCACUCGGCCUUUGCCUCCAAUGGCUUCCCCCUUGACUGAUAAUGAUAAUAAACAGAUUAUUCGCUUUUUCCAAUACAUUUUUGUAUUUAAAUCCAAAGCUGAUUGAAAGCCGCUAGCUUCACUUUUAUGCCACAAAGUAUGCCUCUUAAGUAGUAUUCGACAUUUCAAACACUGAAUGUGUGAAUAAAAAUCUCGUUUUAUUCUUUUCUAUAUGUAAGAAAGGGUUUAAAGAAUUUUAGCACUUUUUUCCAUUGGAAACUCAUAGCUUUUCAAAACCCUCUGCAUUUCAAAACAUAGUAAAUGCGUUAAUAUUGUCUGUAGAGUUUCUGAAUUACUGAUUUGAUAUCUUAUCCCGAACGAGCUGCAUUUUUCAUAUUUUAUACUCUUACUCCCAUGAACUAAAUAUUCUGACUCAUUGUCCGACGGCGUUUCCUUUCGACCUUGAGUGAAGUAUUUAAAGUAGAAUGGGCAGUGCAAUUAUUAAAUUCUCUGCGAACGGCAGGGGCAUUCCAUUGCACUUGGUGGUUGUCCCUCUCUCGGCCAUUUGCUCAUGUUGUGUAUCUACAACUAGAAUUACUCAUCAUCAGCAUUUCCAUAGAAAUCAGAACUCAAAACAAUAAACCAAAGUAGCGUAGACUGUUUAAUUAUUAAAUAGAAUGGCUAUAAUAUAACCUUUUCUUGCAAUCUACUUAAAAUUAGUUCGACUAUAUAUAUAUAUAUAUAUUAUACAUAAUAUAUAAUAUAUUUCUAAAAACAAAACCUGUUGUAAGAAAGAAAUGCUUUGAAAGUUAAAUGAUCAAAAAAGACUUUAAAAUUAAAACUAUAUAAUAAAACAAACGAUAAAACUUGAUGCAUAAAUGAUUUUGAACAAAGGACCUGAAAGCACCAUAAACAGUAAUGCUAGCCAUUUCAAAACUAAAAUCAGAGUAAAUGUGAAUUUAUAGAAUCCUUUCAGGACUUGAACAGUACUUUUCCUACUUCCUUCUUUCGUACCAUUUGAACUCUACAUUUUUUGUUGGGCAAGUGCAAAAGGGAUGGGUAGAGGUGCCAAAGGACAAUGGUUCAAGUGCAAAGAGGAUGCCAAGCCGCAUGCAACAAUGCCAACAACAAGGACCGAACGAACGCCGAAGGACAUGCCGUGCAAUUUCCUUUUCUGUGAUUAUCCGAAACUUAUGUGACAACAAUCAGCAAAUAGUCAUAAACAUAAAUGGCAUUCGUGCUGGCAAUAACGAAUAAAUUCAAUUAUUAUUUGCUUUUCUCUAUUUUCUCUUAUCAAAUUAAAUUCAAUAUAUCAAAUUCAAUUUAAUUUAACUAUCUAGACAAUUUAAGCAUUGACUUUGUUGUGGAAAAAAUCAAAGAUCUAUGUUCAAGUUGACUCAGAGGAUUCCAAUUUCACAACUUCACCUAAUGGAUGAAAGGGGUUGCUUCCUGAUUCUUCGGGACGAAUUGAGUUUCACGACCUCCCUAAUGAUUUCUUAUAACAUGAAAUGGUGCAUACUUACAUAUGGACCAUUAACAGAAACCCGUAAAUCCGAACUUGUGCUGUUUUAUAUCUGUUACAAGACCGGCAUUAUGGGAGUCUGUCAAUGCAAACAACUGGUUUUUGGCAACAAAAUCAAUGACAAAUCUAAAAAACGAAUAAUGGCGGAGUAAGGAUAAAAGUUCAACUUAAAAAAUGAUUACGAGGAAAUACAUAACUUGUAAAGCUAAAGUUGACUGAUUGGACGAUCCAUUUAAGGCCAAACGAAUUAUAAAAAUAAUAAGUAAUAGUCCAACAAUCAAUAAUUAAUCCUAAAACUAAAUUAAAACGACCAGUUUAACAAGAUAAUCAUAUACAAAUAAUAAUAAUAAUAAAAAACGGCAUAAUUAUAAUCAACUUCAGUUUCAAUUUGAAUGGCACUGUUGUAUUAACUUUACUUGAAGACUAAUCUUGUGUAUAUUUCAUUUGACAAUCAAAUUGAACAUAUUUCCUUUAUAGGCGUUUUUAAUAUGAUUUCUCCGCAUUAUUUUCCUUCUUGUUUGCCAACAUCAUUUCAACCCAAAACCGAACCAAAGAAAUCCAGAUGAUCCUUAAAAAACCAAAACCUCCUAGCAAAAAGGACUACACCAAGGACCUUUUUCUCUCUGGCAAAUUGAGGUAGUAGGUUGUAUAGUAGUAAUUACACAUCAUACUAUACAAUGUGCUAGCUUUCUUUGCUUGACUACAAGCCGCAUUUGAUUAAAGAAUCCCAAUCGAACCGCACCACUUACUCCACUUAAUCCCAGCCAUACAAAAGUUGGUGGUGCAACAAAUUUUGAUUGUGGGCAACAAAAAAGUGUUCCGAGCCGGACUUUUGUUCAAUUUCAUUACGAAUGCCUUAAGUAUGUAAAUGCAACCGGGCAUAUGUAAAUAUUGGCAUUGGUGACAUGUGCAAAUGUUUGUAUGGCUGAUUCCCUGAGACCCUAACUUGUGACUUUUAAUACCAGUUUCACAAGUUUUGAUCUCCGGUAUUGGACGCAAACUUGCUGAUGUUAGUAAAAAAUAAGGCAAAAAAGAAAUUACUUUAAAGGCACGACUAUCGGAAGAUCAGAAAAGUUUUCCAGAAGACAUAUGCUGUUCUGCUCGUCAUUUGUGAUUAGAUAAGAUCUGACCUUAUUGCAGAAUUACUCUUGGAUCGGAUGUACUGACCUGUUCAUAAGCUGGUGUUCUUAAAUAAUCUUUAUCUAAGAGUGUGUGUGUUAAAAAUAUAUUUGCAAUUGCAAAAAUUAUUCACAUUCAAAUCAUAAAUUGACGUAACUUGUUUGGUUACGUAGAGAUUUUAAAGUGCAGUUUAGAUACUAUUUGCCUUUAGUGAAAUGAAUGAAGUGAUCUAGCUUUACAAAUAUAACAAUAGCUUGCAUUUCUUAAAUACAUGCAUAUUCGAUUUUAUUUGUAGUUCUUUUGAAAUAAUUCUUUAAAAACCCCCAUAUACAGAAUAGAAGAGUUAUUUUAAUAAUUUCUUAAAAAAAAACAUUUAUUGUUAGCCCAAUGAUUUUGUAUAUCAAAACUAUCACUGAAACCAAUUAUUUUACUAUACAUGAUAAAAAUGUAUUUAAACUACAAGCUACUUCUAAGUUAUAGAGAUACAAUGUGAGAAAGAUUUGAAUAAAUCGAAAAAAGUUAUGAUUUUGAUCUAAACAAUUUCAUUGUCAAGAGAGUACAAAA
Molecule: long non-coding RNA, 4998 nt
Organism: Drosophila yakuba
Lineage: Eukaryota; Metazoa; Arthropoda; Insecta; Diptera; Drosophilidae
Exons: 4
Source: RefSeq, a predicted model, not a curated record